AGUGCAGCUCUCGCGACAGGUUCCUCGAAAGAGGAUGAAAAGGGAACUCGGGUGUGAAACCCGGGCUGCCCCCGCAACUGUAAGCGGCGAGCCCGCGCGUCAUAAACCACUGGGAGCCUCCUUCGGGAGGCCUCUGGGAAGGCGACGCGCACCGGCAUUGACCCGCGAGCCAGGAGACCUGCCCGUCGCGGUCGUCCUUC
This 200-nucleotide non-coding RNA is filed under the name Caulobacter sp. RNAcentral also lists the same sequence under 1 other name. Lineage: Bacteria; Pseudomonadati; Pseudomonadota; Alphaproteobacteria; Caulobacterales; Caulobacteraceae. The record is from RNAcentral.